Small nuclear RNA from Cavia porcellus (domestic guinea pig), 150 nucleotides. Its record names the gene U1. It matches the Rfam family "U1 spliceosomal RNA". Rfam says of the family: U1 is a small nuclear RNA (snRNA) component of the spliceosome (involved in pre-mRNA splicing). Its 5' end forms complementary base pairs with the 5' splice junction, thus defining the 5' donor site of an intron. NCBI's taxonomy places the organism in Eukaryota, Metazoa, Chordata, Mammalia, Rodentia, Caviidae. The record is from Ensembl.
GUACUGACCCAGCCGGGAGAUACCAUGAUCACGAAGGUGGUUUUCCCAGGGCGAGGCUCAUCCAUUGCACCCCGGAUGUGCUGACCCCUGCGAUUUCCUCAAGUGUGGGAAACUUGUGGUAGUGGGGGACUGCGUUUGCGCUUUCCCCUG